GCCGGGCGUGGUGGCUCACGCCUGUAAUCCCAGCACUUUGGGAGGCUGAGGCAGGUGGAUUACCUGAGGUCAGGAGUUCAAGACCAGCCUGGUCAACAUGGUGAAAGCUUGUCUUUA
Unclassified non-coding RNA from Pongo abelii (Sumatran orangutan), 117 nucleotides. It matches the Rfam family "Metazoan signal recognition particle RNA". Rfam says of the family: The signal recognition particle (SRP) is a universally conserved ribonucleoprotein. NCBI's taxonomy places the organism in Eukaryota, Metazoa, Chordata, Mammalia, Primates, Hominidae. The record is from Ensembl.